This 517-nucleotide ribosomal RNA is filed under the name uncultured bacterium. RNAcentral describes it as "partial 16S ribosomal RNA". It matches the Rfam family "Bacterial small subunit ribosomal RNA", at positions 28 to 523 of the family's 1533-position model. The record is from RNAcentral.
GAUGAACGCUGGCGGAGUGCCUUAAGCAUGCAAGUGGAACGGUUUUGAGCUUGGUAGCAAUACUGAGCUUGAAGCAGUCGCAGACGGGUGAGUAACACGUGGGCAACCUGCCCUGCAGAUCGGGAUAACUCCGGGAAACCGGUGCUAAUACCGGAUAGUUUGGCGCCUCUCCUGAGGCGCUACGGAAAGACGGUUUCGGCUGUCACUGCAGGCUGGGCCCGCGGCGCAUUAGCUAGUUGGUGGGGUAACGGCCCACCAAGGCGACGAUGCGUAGCCGACCUGAGAGGGUGACCGGCCACACUGGGACUGAGACACGGCCCAGACUCCUACGGGAGGCAGCAGUAGGGAAUCUUCCGCAAUGGACGCAAGUCUGACGGAGCAACGCCGCGUGAGUGACGAAGGUUUUCGGAUCGUAAAACUCUGUUGUGAGGGAAGAACACGUACCAACUAACUAUUGGUACCUUGACGGUACCUCACCAGAAAGCCACGGCUAACUACGUGCCAGCAGCCGCUGUAA